CGUUUUCUAAUAUCCCAUUUGGGCUUUCUUUAAGAUCAGAGGAAAGUGAUUCUGAACUUAUUGUUGAAUUUGAUACAAAGAGGGAUGCUAAGUAUGGUGAUUUGAAUGACAACCACGUGGGAAUUAAUGUGGGUGGUUUAGUAUCAGUUGAGGUGAAAAAUGCUUCAUCUGCUAAUGUGGUGUUGAAUGAUGGGAAGAGAUUGAGUUCAUGGAUUGAUUAUGAAGCGAGUUCCAAGAGGUUAG
Molecule: unclassified non-coding RNA, 243 nt
Filed under: Hevea brasiliensis (rubber tree)
Lineage: Eukaryota; Viridiplantae; Streptophyta; Magnoliopsida; Malpighiales; Euphorbiaceae
Source: RNAcentral